Molecule: transfer RNA, 75 nt
Rfam family: tRNA
About the family: Transfer RNA (tRNA) molecules are approximately 80 nucleotides in length. Their secondary structure includes four short double-helical elements and three loops (D, anti-codon, and T loops).
GGGCGAUUAGCUCAGCGGUAGAGCGCUGCCUUCACACGGCAGAGGUCGGGGGAUCAAAACCCUCAUCGCCCACGA